GACGAACGCUGGCGGCGUGCUUAACACAUGCAAGUCGAACGGAAAGGCCCUGCUUUUGUGCGGUGCGCUAGUGGCGACCGGGUGAGUAACACGUGAGUAACCUACCCUUGACUUUGGGAUAACUUCAGGAAACUGGGUCUAAUACCGGAUAGGAGCUCCUGCUGUAUGGUGGGGCUUGGAAAGAUUCGCCGGUUGGGUAUGGACUCGCGGAUUAUCAGCUUGAUGGUGGGGUGGUGGCUUAGCAAGGCUGUGACGAGUAGCCGGGCUGAGAGGGUGGCCGGAUAGAUUGGAACUGGAUUACGAACCAGACUCGAAUGGUAGGCAGCAGUGGGGUAGGUUGCACAAGAGGAGGGGGACUGAUGAAGAGUGGCCACGUGUGGGGUGAGGGCCUUCGGGUUGUAAACCGCUUUGGUUUGUGACGAAGCGUGAGUGACAGUAAUGGGUAAAGAAGCACCGGCUAACUACGUG
This 468-nucleotide ribosomal RNA is filed under the name uncultured bacterium. Its description in RNAcentral is "partial 16S ribosomal RNA". It matches the Rfam family "Bacterial small subunit ribosomal RNA", at positions 28 to 507 of the family's 1533-position model. The record is from RNAcentral.